AGCAAGCUUUUCUCCACCACAUUUCAUGCAUCGCCCCCAUUCUCUUCUUCUCUCCUCCACCCAUACGCACGCUGUCACACGGCUCAAACACAUCCUAAAUGACAUAAGCUGAUCUAGUAUUAUUCACUCUUUGGCAUCACAAAUUGCAGAUAUCUCAAUUUCGCAACUUUGAUCCUGAAUGUUAAUAUACCAAUGGAAAUUCUGAUGACAAGUUCCCUGCAGCUUUGAAAGUACAGACAUUGCAGUUCAGACAUCAAGCCAUUUGAGAUUUUUGUACGCAGGAAGAAAUUUUCAGCAACGGUAUGCAUCCCUCUGAUCAACCAGUCCUGAUCCUUUCUGUCCUCCUGGCAGGCCUAAUUCUAGCCCUGCUUUUCAUGUACAAGAAGUUGAACAAGGAAGCAGAAAACAAAUAUACCAUUCGCAGCAUGGUAUACAAAGAAGGAGGACUCCGGGAUCGGGCAAGAGGCAUAGCCAUAGCUCUUGGGACUCGUCUUGGCAUUCGACCUCACAGUGAUGAUGAAGAAGAAGAGAUGGAUGAGAUUGAAGAUGAGGAGGGACAGGUGGAGGGUAGCGGCAGCCAAGGGAGUGAUAUGGAGGGAGAAGAUGAACAAGAGGAAGCAGAGGGGGAUAGCAUGGACCAGAGUGGUAACACAAAGGAAAAUAGUAAAGGAAGUGAUAAAUCAAGUUUGGAGAGUUCAGAGUCAGGGGAGCAGGAAACGCAAACAGAUGAGCCAGAGGUAAAAGAUGACAUGGAAGGAAAAAAGGAGGAAAAGCAGGAGAAAGUGGAAGAAGAGCAAGGUAAAGUGAAAGCAAGUGGGGGGACUGGAUUGUUGAUAGAUCUGAAACAGUUUUCUGGAAGUGCCAUCUGGUCUGAAGAAGGGGGAGAUGAUAGUAAGGGAGGUGAUGUAACAGCAUUGUGAUAUCACAAGCAGAAUGCAUGAAAAAACAAGGAAAAUCUAAAGCUCCACUUAAAAGUUUGCACAUAUAUACUCAUUAAAAAUGAAUGGGUAGAUGUAUCCAAACUUUGGACACAGGGUACCAGAACCACAGUACCUGGGUAUUGUAGUUUAGUUUUAAACAGCAUUUUAGAAAUACAGAGGCUGCAGUUCCAAGUAAAUCCAAGUGGCUGUUAAAAUGUUUUUUAUCCAGUUUCUCUAUAACAAAAAAAUAAUAAUAAAUAAAUAAAUAAAAUAAAAUAAAAAUUGACAAGCAGUGACAACAUCACCUCAUCUUUCUCAGUGGUACACAUUUGAUCUUAAUACCACUUGGUGUUGCGACAUCAGGAGACAAAGUAACUUGUACAUUUUUUCUGUUAUAAAUAUGCAUUUGAAUGUUUGUGUAAGAUUUGUAUGAUCUUUUAUUGGACUGUAACCUGUGUUUAUAUUGCUUGAAAUGUUUAUUCUAAUUCAAAUAAAAAUGGGGAAAGAAUUGCUAUCAUACUAUUUACUUGUGUUACAUACUAAAUUGAAAUGUGAAAUAUGAAGUAAAUACUGGUUGUAAGGAAGAAAAAGAAAAGAGAGGUAAUAUAAUUAGAUCCAGUGCUACAUAGAUAAUAUAGUGGUACAUUGAAUUGCCUUUUUACCUAGAGUCAGAUAACUUAUGUUUUGUUUCUAUUGAUAAAAUGAAGAAAAUGUGUGUUCUAUCUCCUGUCACACCAUUAAAGGUAGGGAUAAAAGCUUGAAACACCAACAACGUGACAAAAACUGUAUAUAAUGUUAAGAAUAUGCGUUGACAAAGGUGGAAUAUUGUACAUUAUAGGUAGUUAUGCGUUCCGUAUGCUGUAAACAAAAAUAAUAAAUCACCUCUACUAGCA
This is a long non-coding RNA of Melanotaenia boesemani (Boeseman's rainbowfish), 1813 nucleotides long. RefSeq lists it as uncharacterized. The transcript has 3 exons. NCBI's taxonomy places the organism in Eukaryota, Metazoa, Chordata, Actinopteri, Atheriniformes, Melanotaeniidae. The record is from RefSeq and is a predicted model, not a curated record.